RNAcentral lists this ribosomal RNA (448 nucleotides) under uncultured bacterium. RNAcentral's name for it is "partial 16S ribosomal RNA". It matches the Rfam family "Bacterial small subunit ribosomal RNA", at positions 329 to 793 of the family's 1533-position model. The record is from RNAcentral.
GCCCAGACCCCUACGGGAGGCAGCAGUGGGGGAUAUUGCACAAUGGGGGGAACCCUGAUGCAGCGACGCCGCGUGGGUGAAGGAGCGUUUCGGCGCGUAAAGCCCUAUCGGCAGGGAAGAAGGAGGACGGUACCUGGCUAAGAAGCCCCGGCUAACUACGUGCCAGCAGCCGCGGUAAUACGUAGGGGGCAAGCGUUAUCCGGAUUUACUGGGUGUAAAGGGAGCGUAGACGGCAGUGCAAGUCCGGAGUGAAAGCCCGGGGCUCAACCCCGGGACUGCUCUGGAAACUGUAAAGCUGGAGUGCGGGAGGGGCAGGCGGAAUUCCUGGUGUAGCGGUGAAAUGCGUAGAUAUCAGGAGGAACACCGGCGGCGAAGGCGGCCUGCUGGACCGUAACUGACGUUGAGGCUCGAAAGCGUGGGGAGCAAACAGGAUUAGAUACCCUCGUAA